Molecule: ribosomal RNA, 253 nt
Filed under: uncultured bacterium
Lineage: Bacteria
Description: partial 16S ribosomal RNA
Rfam family: Bacterial small subunit ribosomal RNA
Source: RNAcentral
UACGGGGGGGGCAAGCGUUGUUCGGAAUUACUGGGCGUAAAGGGCUCGUAGGCGGCCAACUAAGUCAGACGUGAAAUCCCUCGGCUUAACCGGGGAACUGCAUCUGAUACUGGAUGGCUUGAGAUUGGGAGAGGGAUGCGGAAUUCCAGGUGUAGCGGUGAAAUGCGCAGAUAUCAGGAGGAACACCGGUGGCGAAGGCGGGUCUCUGGGCCGUAACUGACGCUGAGGAGCGAAAGCAUGGGGAGCGAACAGG